GGACAACAGUUGUUGCAGCGUACUGCGCCAGUUUUUUUCUCUUUUUUUCUAGAGUCGGCUGGUCAUUCAGCAGGCCUACCAUUGGAGAAGGACUACAGUUGGUGCAGAAAGGGUUCCAGUUCUGCCCUCUACAGUUCGGUAGAGGCGUGGUACAGGGCAGUUCAGGAGUUAUUGGAGAAGGACUACAUUUGGUGCAGAAAGAGUGUUCCAGUUCUGCCCUCAAAAGUUCGGUAGAGGCGUGGUUACAGUGAUAACAUCAUGCCACGCCGAGGGAAGAGAUCUGAGGCUGCAAAGCAACGCUGGGCUAAGUUGGACCUUUCAGACCCUCGGUUUCAGAGUCCAGAACUACAAAGUAGCGUUGCAGUCAUGGAGGUAUGUGACAGGGAGUGUAAACAGGAGGUGUGUUGUCUACCGGUGGUGUCAUCCCCAUGCACAGCUCAGUAUUAUGCACAACCUGAGGUUCAAGAGGUCAACAGCAAUGUGCAGGUCAUAGACCUUUCUGAAAAUUAUAGUGUACAAGAAUCAUGCGCCCCACCACCCUCUGUGAUAUCUGUGCUGGCGUCCCAUAGUCAGGAUCAUAGUGGCUAUGAGCCUGAGUCAAGGAAUCGUCAGUGUACAUGCAUGGCUCUGACAUUUCUAGCACACCAGAAUGAGGGUCAUGACUUGAAGGAGGCUGAUCUUGACAAGAUACUGGACAAGGGAGACAGUCUGUAUAAGAGAACUAUAAAACAGCUAAAAAGUGAAAAGAGGUUCCGCAACUACUAUUUGACCUUGGAGGAAACACCACUCACUGUCGCAACUGAGCACCAUGAGUACAGGGUGCAAAGAUCUCCAGUGGAAAUGGGAUUCAUGAGAGACAAGGGAGAUCCUGGCACAGAGGAUUGGUUUCAAAAUCUUCGCACAAGACUUCAGUGUCUGUCUGUAGGUGUUACACAUGCACUGCUUACAGUAUCACCAUAUACCAUUGCCGUGUUCAGAGACCAGUCUGGGAGAUAUGGACUGUUUGACUCUCAUAACAGAAAUGCUGAUGGGCUACCUGAGCAUGGGGGAAAAGCUGUAAUGAUGACCUUCACGCAUUUGGAUGAUCUAAUUGAAAAGAUUGAUCAUUUGAAUGCCUUGCUACAUGGUGGGUCUAUUGACAAAAAACAGUUUGACUUCAUGCCGGUGACAUUUGCACAUGCAAAGGCUUUGUCACACCGUUUGCCUUCCCUACAAGUGCAAUCUGACAACCCGCAUGACAGAAGGCCUGCGGAGGUGAAGGUGACACCAACUACCAAACAUGAAACAGAUACUGGACUCCCAACCAGCCAACAUUCUCUGCAGUCAGUCAAUGCACUGUCCACACACGUGAUAUCAAAGGCUACACAGGUUACAACAUCUAAAAAACUCAGUAAACGGCAAAGAAAAAAACAAAUGAAGAAACAAAGAAAAGACACACAGCUGUGUGUAAUGAUAUCUGCCACUGGUAAAAAACAAACAUCUCAGAGAGAGCGAUACAGAAGAGAAGCAGAU
Molecule: long non-coding RNA, 1512 nt
Organism: Anguilla rostrata (American eel)
Lineage: Eukaryota; Metazoa; Chordata; Actinopteri; Anguilliformes; Anguillidae
Exons: 3
Source: RefSeq, a predicted model, not a curated record